Molecule: ribosomal RNA, 250 nt
Filed under: uncultured prokaryote
Description: partial 16S rRNA
Rfam family: Bacterial small subunit ribosomal RNA
Source: RNAcentral
ACGUAGGUGGCGAGCGUUGUCCGGAAUUAUUGGGCGUAAAGCGCAUGUAGGCGGGAAUAUAAGUCUGUUGUGAAAAUGCGGGGCUCAACCCCGUAUUGCAAUGGAAACUGUAUUUCUUGAGUGCAGGAGAGGAAAGGGGAAUUCCCAGUGUAGCGGUGAAAUGCGUAGAUAUUGGGAGGAACACCAGUGGCGAAGGCGCCUUUCUGGACUGUGUCUGACGCUGAGAUGCGAAAGCCAGGGGAGCGAACGG